GCAGCGGUGGUGUAGUUGGUUAUCACGUCAGUCUAACACACUGAAGGUCCCGAGUUCAAGUCUCGGCCGCUGUA
Molecule: non-coding RNA, 74 nt
Organism: Aplosporella prunicola CBS 121167
Lineage: Eukaryota; Fungi; Ascomycota; Dothideomycetes; Botryosphaeriales; Aplosporellaceae
Source: the annotation of a RefSeq genome assembly